RNAcentral lists this ribosomal RNA (497 nucleotides) under uncultured bacterium. Its description in RNAcentral is "partial 16S ribosomal RNA". It matches the Rfam family "Bacterial small subunit ribosomal RNA", at positions 28 to 507 of the family's 1533-position model. The record is from RNAcentral.
GAUGAACGCUGGCGGCGUGCCUAAUACAUGCAAGUCGAGCGAACAGACGAGGAGCUUGCUCCUCUGACGUUAGCGGCGGACGGGUGAGUAACACGUGGAUAACCUACCUAUAAGACUGGGAUAACUUCGGGAACCCGGAGCUAAUACCGGAUAAUAUAUUGAACCGCAUGGUUCAAUAGUGAAAGCCGGUUUUGCUGUCACUUAUAGAUGGAUCCGCGCCGCAUUAGCUAGUUGGUAAGGUAACGGCUUACCAAGGCGACGAUGCGUAGCCGACCUGAGAGGGUGAUAGGCCACACUGGAACUGAGACACGGUCCAGACUCCUACGGGAGGCAGCAGUGGGGAAUCUUCCGCAAUGGGCGAAAGCCUGACGGAGCAACGCCGCGUGAGUGAUGAAGGUCUUCGGAUCGUAAAACUCUGUUAUUAGGGAAGAACAAAUGUGUAAGUAACUAUGCACGUCUUGACGGUACCUAAUCAGAAAGCAACGGCUAACUACGUG